CAGGAAGCAAAGGAGCUCCACUCAGUUCAAUACAGGGGGCAGAGAUGGCUGAAAGAGCUGCCAUCUCAUGCAUUCGGUUACGCUUAACCUUUCUAUUCUAUUAUAUAUAUUGGCUGACUAGCUGGAAAUGACGAAUAUUUACGAAGGGUUAAGUUUGGCCCGAUGCAUGGCAUGGGAGCACCACCUCCUUCCUCAUACUUUGCCCGCCCAUUGGACUGAAGGGAGCUCCUGUUUUCAUCACA
Gossypium hirsutum (cotton) is the source of this 242-nucleotide non-coding RNA. Lineage: Eukaryota; Viridiplantae; Streptophyta; Magnoliopsida; Malvales; Malvaceae. The record is from Rfam.